Molecule: ribosomal RNA, 405 nt
Filed under: Pseudellipsoidion edaphicum
Lineage: Eukaryota; Eustigmatophyceae; Eustigmatales; Neomonodontaceae
Description: partial small subunit ribosomal RNA
Rfam family: Eukaryotic small subunit ribosomal RNA
Source: RNAcentral
GCUUGUCUCAAAGAUUAAGCCAUGCAUGUCUAAGUGUAAAUAAGUCUAUACUGUGAAACUGCGAAUGGCUCAUUAAAUCAGUUAUCGUUUAUUUGAUGAUCUCUUACUACUUGGAUAACCGUAGUAAUUCUAGAGCUAAUACAUGCAUCAACUCCCAACUGCUUGUCGGACGGGAUGUAUUUAUUAGAUUGAAACCAAUGCGCUUCGGCGGUAUUGUGGUGAAUCAUGAUAACUUUGCGGAUCGUAUGACCUCGCGUCGACGAUGAAUCAUUCAAGUUUCUGCCCUAUCAGCUUUGGAUGGUAGGGUAUUGGCCUACCAUGGCUUUGACGGGUAACGGAGAAUUGGGGUUCGGUUCCGGAGAGGGAGCCUGAGAGAUGGCUACCACAUCCAAGGAAGGCAGCAGG